Molecule: long non-coding RNA, 1388 nt
Organism: Gasterosteus aculeatus aculeatus (three-spined stickleback)
Lineage: Eukaryota; Metazoa; Chordata; Actinopteri; Perciformes; Gasterosteidae
Source: Ensembl
GGUUUGAAAUCGAUGCAGUUUAUAAAAUCAUUGAAAGGGGGACAAAGCAUUAUGGGUCGGGGGGUCAAAUUUGGGAAGAUUUUCCCCAUUUGCUUUCUUUUAGAUUAAAAUGAAAAGAAUCAAUCUCAUGUCUGUGGCACGGCAGUCAGGAUGUGGUUGGAUCAAAGAAAGAAAACAUGACUUGUUGCAAGUGCUCACUGUCGAUAAGGGACAGUUUUCCAUUUUAUAUUUGAUGGAGCUGACUAAUUAUUUGGCAGUCAACCAAAUCCAAUAUGCAUGAAAGCCAGUUGAGAACACUACAAACCCACAGUAAACUAAACUUUCCCUAUUUCUUUUAUUUUCAUUAUUUUAUUGUUUUUGUGUAAGCAUGUUCACAUCAACAUUUUGCAUUGAGGCAAGUACUGUAAUAUAUCAUUUAAUGGUGAUUACUUGAAAGCCACGUUUUUAAAUGUGUUUUUUUUUUGGUUUUUACAGUUUUUACCAAAUAUAAAAUGACUAAGGAUGAAGCAAAAUAUUUCAUUGAUAAUAAUAAUAAGAACGAUAUAAUUCGCACAAUGAUUAAAUAUUCUCCCCUCCUUCAUGUUGCUGCUAUUCUACUGGUUACAGGUGUAGUGACGCUGGCCAGCGCUCCACUGGAGAGGCCAUUACAGAUCCACGAUAUUGUGACCCAACGUAGCGAGGUAGGACAAGAUGGUAACCAUGGUAACCACUAAACGCAGUGGUAAUGUUACCAUGCGUUGGUGCUACGUCUAGCUUCUAGCUACCAUCCUUAAUACCAUCCAUUGGUUACAGAACGUGCUCCCAAGCAAGCUACAAGGUUUUUCACCAUAACCACAACAGCCGCAAUUUUCUUUUUCACUUUUGUCACUAAUUCAUCAUUUCAUUUUGUUCAUUUCAUUCAUUUUGUUCUUUCUUUCAAUUCUGUCAAUCCUUAUUGAGACAACACUCAACGAAUUAAACCUUUGCCAUCUUGUUUCACCCUGUAGAGCAGUGGAACCACAGAUCCAAAUAGUGUAUUGGUUAGUUGUGUCUAUUUGUUAUGUAAUUACUCUGGGGGGAUUGUGGAAGAGGUGCAUGGGAAGUAUGACAAAGUUAUCGAUAUUAUUCCUCAUUUUUUCAUUAUGCCGUAUGUUUUAUUAACUUCCACAUGUUGUUUAAAUUUAACCAGGUAUUUCAUUUGCUGCGUGUCUAUAUAGUCUAUAUGGCCAUCUCCUCAUUCAAGGUGUUGGGUACAAAUUCUAAUAGAGUUACCGUAAGAUAUUGUCCGCAUGCACUUCACAUGUGUCUUAAAGCCCUGAUGUGCUGCAGUGGCUGAGCUCAGUCUCUAUAAAACUGUUUUAAUUAUUUGUCUCUUGUAUUGGAUAAAGGUGUUAUGGAUAAAUACUGAC